GAUGAACGCUGGCGGCGUGCCUAAUACAUGCAAGUCGAGCGAACAGACGAGGAGCUUGCUCCUCUGACGUUAGCGGCGGACGGGUGAGUAACACGUGGAUAACCUCCCUAUAAGACUGGGAUAACUUCGGGAAACCGGAGCUAAUACCGGAUAAUAUAUUGCACCGCAUGGUUCAUUAGUGAAAGACGGUUUUGCUGUAACUUAUAGCUGGAUCCGCGCCGCAUUGGCUAGUUGGUACGGUAACGGCUUUGCACGGCAACGAUGGGUAGCCGACCUGCGUGGGGGAUCGGCCACACGGGAAGGGAAACAGGGACCAUGGGCCUGCGGUAGGCAGCAGUAGGGUAUCGUCCGCAGUGGUCGAAAGCCUGACAGAGCAAGGCCGCGUGAGUGAUAGAGGUCUUCCGAGCGUAAAGCUCGGUUAUGGGUGGAGAACAAAUGUGUAAUUAACUAUGCACGUCGUGACGGUACCUAAUCAGAAAGCCACGGCUAACUACGUG
Molecule: ribosomal RNA, 497 nt
Filed under: uncultured bacterium
Lineage: Bacteria
Description: partial 16S ribosomal RNA
Rfam family: Bacterial small subunit ribosomal RNA
Source: RNAcentral